UACGUAGGGUGCAAGCGUUAGUCGGAAUUACUGGGCGUAAAGCGUGCGCAGGCGGUUUUGUAAGACUGUCGUGAAAUCCCCGGGCUUAACCUGGGAAUGGCGAUGGUGACUGCAAGGCUAGAGUUUGGCAGAGGGGGGUAGAAUUCCACGUGUAGCAGUGAAAUGCGUAGAUAUGUGGAGGAACACCGAUGGCGAAGGCAGCCCCCUGGGUCAAAACUGACGCUCAUGCACGAAAGCGUGGGGAGCAAACAGG
This 253-nucleotide ribosomal RNA is filed under the name uncultured bacterium. RNAcentral describes it as "partial 16S ribosomal RNA". It matches the Rfam family "Bacterial small subunit ribosomal RNA", at positions 524 to 776 of the family's 1533-position model. The record is from RNAcentral.